Transfer RNA from Ovis aries (sheep), 73 nucleotides. It matches the Rfam family "tRNA". From Rfam's summary of the family: Transfer RNA (tRNA) molecules are approximately 80 nucleotides in length. Their secondary structure includes four short double-helical elements and three loops (D, anti-codon, and T loops). Lineage: Eukaryota; Metazoa; Chordata; Mammalia; Artiodactyla; Bovidae. The record is from Rfam.
UCCCUGGCAGUCUAGUGGUUAAGACUUAGCACCCCCAAUGCAAAGGGCAUGGGUUCAAUCCCUAGUCAAGGAA